RNAcentral lists this transfer RNA (72 nucleotides) under Patescibacteria group bacterium. RNAcentral's name for it is "tRNA-Glu". It matches the Rfam family "tRNA". From Rfam's summary of the family: Transfer RNA (tRNA) molecules are approximately 80 nucleotides in length. The record is from RNAcentral.
GGCCCCAUCGUCUAGUGGUUAGGACGCCAGGUUCUCAUCCUGGCAACCAGAGUUCGAUUCUCUGUGGGGUCA